UCUUCAUCAUGUUUUCAUUUGGUUUGGAAUUGUAACAAUCUAAUUUAAUCUGAUUGUUUUCUUCUCAUUGUCAAUCAAUUUACCACAUUUAAGACUGAUUGUGUUCAAUUAAUCACUUGAUUCUGGUUGAUUGGUUGAUAUUCUCAUGUAUUGGUUUUGUCUUUUGUUUUUGUCUCUUGUUUAAUUUAUUCUGGGAUAAUCAAUGUGAUAACAAUCAGUGUAUUGUUUUCAGAUUGUUCCUUGGUCAGCAUGAUAUCUUCUUUUCUCAAUGGAAACCUGUCUAUCUAUUCAUCUGAGGUAGGAAGCAUCUUGGAACUCAAACCAUAACAUGUAACAGGAAUUACAUUACAAAAACCAUUCCUUUGUGGAUUUACCUUUAAUUUGCUAUUAUUUUCAUUCAAUUUUAUCCUUUUCACCAUUAAUUUCAACUCUCUCUCUGUGUAUAAUCAUCACCACAACUAUCAUCAGGAAUAUAGUAGAAAAGGAGCCAGUAAACACUUAGAAUCAUAGACAAUUAGACUGAUUGUGCCUCGAUAGUUAUGGAUAAUUGUAAUUGCAAUAAUACGUAAUAAGUAACACAAACGUUUACUUUUGUUUACUAAAUGAUAAAAAUCAUCUUCACCAUCAUCUGUAACAACAACAACAACAACCAGAUAUACAACAGAGGAAAAGUCUCAAAAGAAAGUAACUAGAACGAUAAAGUUCAUUUACCUGGAACCAAAAUGAAUUAAUUUAACCAAACAACAAUAGCAAAUUGUGAAAGAGACAAUCAAAGGAAGGUGUAAAUCUAUGAAUAGGAACCAUUUGAUUCACAGUUGCCAGUUAAAUUAACAGAGCAAUUUCAACAUCAUCAACAGUAAUUGUUUAAACUAUACUCUCUUUAAUUGUUACCCUGUUAACCGGAUUAAAGAUAAAUUAAACUUCAUCUCAUACUCAUCCAUUAACAGAGAAACGAGAUUGCCAUUUUUCAAAUGAUAAUCCAAUGGAUCCAAUGUAUUAUAUUUUUAGGAGGAGGUGAAGGAUAAGAUCUGGUUCUGAUGAUGAGGAUGAUAACAAAGGGGAUAAAUGAUACUCUGGAUACAAUUUACAGAAUCAAGUUACAGGUAUCAGGGAACAAAAAUCAAAUUCUUUUGGAUUGUUACCUUUUUUCCUGCUCAAUUUUUCGUAUCAAUGUCCAUCCCAAUGUCCAUCUGUUUCCAUUGUUGUUACCAGGAAAUGACCAACAGUAAAUAUUAUCAUCAUCACCUUUAAUCUUCAUCAUCCUAAUGGUUGGAAUCUUCAUCUUGGCUUAUCAUCAUCAUCAUCUUUAUCCCUUAUAAACAAAAAAGAUGUGACAAUGAACAGAUGAUUUAAAUUUCUUGAUUAUAUCAUCAUGGUUAAUUGUUGUGAACAUUAAUUAAGAUUUUACUUUUCUUGUAAAUAUUUUUCAUUCCCAUUUGUAUGUGACAGUUUGAUUAUCUUAUUAUGAUUAUUAUCAUCUUAAUAUAAUAAUAAUUAAGACUGUUAACCAAAGGUUCUCACACAAUCAAGUUAAUUAGUGUCUCUUGAUUGUGGAAAUCAUAUUAAUAGUAAGUUUGUCUUUAUUAACCAAUGAUUAGGCACAAACAUAAUAAUAAUUAAUUACUUUUGAUAUUGUU
Molecule: long non-coding RNA, 1637 nt
Organism: Panonychus citri (citrus red mite)
Lineage: Eukaryota; Metazoa; Arthropoda; Arachnida; Trombidiformes; Tetranychidae
Exons: 6
Source: RefSeq, a predicted model, not a curated record